Molecule: long non-coding RNA, 1347 nt
Filed under: Astyanax mexicanus (Mexican tetra)
Lineage: Eukaryota; Metazoa; Chordata; Actinopteri; Characiformes; Acestrorhamphidae
Description: lncRNA (ENSAMXG00005019065.1)
Source: RNAcentral
UGCAUCAUUAAAUAAAGAAAUAAAGAAAAACAAUGAAUAACUGAAUGAUGUGUCUAAACUUUUGACAUUUUUGCUGUUGCUUCUUUAUCUAGAAAUGAUUAAGCCGAGGAACAUGUCUGUAAGUCUGCUCCUGCUCUGGAUGGUAGUGAACAUCCACACUGCUGCCGGAUCUGCUGGAGAGAUUCUCAGUGAACUCAGUGAGAUAAACACUGAAAGACCACUAAACAUCAGACCUGAGGUCAGUGUGGAUGUCUGUGUGAGAUGUGCUGCGGAUCUACAGUGUGACGAGAGCAGUGAAGGAUUGGUGAAGUUGUGGCAGACCCCCUUUGGAUCAUUUGGAAAUGGGCUGUUUUUUAGAGAAAACGACCCAAUUAACAUAAAUAACAGAACACUGAGAAUCCCAAGAGCCACUUUCAGCCAUAUUGGACUCUACCACUGUCGAAUGGUGGACAACAGAGGAACAACAGUAAUUUCAUACAGAGUGAAUGUGGUGGAUAAAGACAUAAACGGCCCGGCAAGACCGAGAUUAGCCAGAGAAGCCCAGGAGACAGGAGGACAUGAGCUGGCAUCGGGUGUGGUACCAGCAGUGCUGGUGUCAUUCAUGGUCGCCUUCACCCUUGGCGCGUUCAGCAGAUCCUACGUCAUCAAGUGCCUCCAAAAAACAGAGGCCAGGAUGCUUCCGAAACGAAGCUUUCACUCACGCAGAGCAGCUGGCAUUGGUCCAUUCAGAAUGACCGGCAGGAUGUCCUCCUUUUUUAAAGAUUCUGGUGCUUUAAAGGCAUCUAGACCCAAUAAAUCUCCCCCAAAAUGGUUCUGGUCCAAGAAAGACAACCAAGAAUCUACAGUUGAGGAGAUUGAGGUUGUAGAUGAAGCACAAACCAAUCCAGAACCAGAUCUACAACCAGAACCAGAGCAUCAAGAUGAAGAACCCUCUACCAUACAACCCAAACGCAGAAGUAGAGUCAUUAAACUCUACAACUACGAUGAUGAGGGUAAGAGAUUCGACCAUCUCACAGAUCCGGAGGUGGUGAUGUUGGAGCAGGAGGAGGUCGAACCCAAACCCAGACUCAGAGUGAUGUCUCUGACCCGACUCAGCACCAUCAUGAGCCAAGUGGACACUCCAGAUCUGUCUACAUACAGAAGAUCACGAGAUAACACCCCAUCUAAACCAGAUGAGCCUCCUCAGGAUUAGUUCUGGAGGGUUAACUGAUUAAUCAAAUGUAAUUUACUAAUUUAAUUAAUCAUAUUACUGUUUUAAUGCAAUUUCCAAAAUGGAAAAAUCAAGACAAUUUGUUUUCUUUUUUUAAGAAUGUUUUAAGACCUCAAUAAAUAUAAUUUAAGGUCCCA